This is a long non-coding RNA of Metopolophium dirhodum (rose-grain aphid), 475 nucleotides long. RefSeq lists it as uncharacterized. Lineage: Eukaryota; Metazoa; Arthropoda; Insecta; Hemiptera; Aphididae. The record is from RefSeq and is a predicted model, not a curated record. The transcript has 3 exons.
GGAAGACGUCUGCGAGAGAGACCGACCCAACAAUUCAAACGAUUAUUUUUAUUUUACCACCGAAACGUAGGGUUAAGGCUUCAACUACUAAGGUCAUUAGCCUGUGGUACUGUGGAGGAGGGUACUAACUGUAGAUUUGUUUACACGUGUGUUUGUUUUGGCAGAAUUUUUGAUUUGGGCACCCGUAAGUAUCUGCCAUGCCCGGUCGGGGGAUGGCGGUCUCUCUUUCCAGACAGAAUAUUAUGUCUGCCCGGAGAAAAGUGCCGCCCGUGACCGAGGUUCGAACCAGCGACGGUGCGCAUUGAAACCGACGCCUUAGUCUACUCGGCCACUCCGUCUCCCGACAUUAUAUUUGUAUAACUACCUAACUGCAGUUAUACCUCAAUAUAUUAUUAUUAUGCGAAUGACAUUAAAAAAAAUUAUACGUUUGGCUGAUACUCGUUUUUGUGAAUGGUUUACAAUUUAUAUGAUAUCU